AGUGAACGCUGGCGGUAGGCCUAACACAUGCAAGUCGAACGGCAGCACAGUAAGAGCUUGCUCUUACGGGUGGCGAGUGGCGGACGGGUGAGGAAUACAUCGGAAUCUACUUUUUCGUGGGGGAUAACGUAGGGAAACUUACGCUAAUACCGCAUACGACCUACGGGUGAAAGCAGGGGAUCUUCGGACCUUGCGCGAUUGAACGAGCCGAUGUCGGAUUAGCUAGUUGGCGGGGUAAAGGCCCACCAAGGCGACGAUCCGUAGCUGGUCUGAGAGGAUGAUCAGCCACACUGGAACUGAGACACGGUCCAGACUCCUACGGGAGGCAGCAGUGGGGAAUAUUGGACAAUGGGCGCAAGCCUGAUCCAACCAUACCGCGUGGGUGAAGAAGGCCUUCGGGUUGUAAAGCCCUUUUGUUGGGAAAGAAAAGCAGCAGGUUAAUACCCCGCUGUUCUGACGGUACCCAAAGAAUAAGCACCGGCUAACUUCGUG
RNAcentral lists this ribosomal RNA (492 nucleotides) under uncultured bacterium. Its description in RNAcentral is "partial 16S ribosomal RNA". It matches the Rfam family "Bacterial small subunit ribosomal RNA", at positions 29 to 507 of the family's 1533-position model. The record is from RNAcentral.